Molecule: long non-coding RNA, 220 nt
Filed under: Pan troglodytes (chimpanzee)
Lineage: Eukaryota; Metazoa; Chordata; Mammalia; Primates; Hominidae
Description: long non-coding RNA NONPTRT015335
Source: RNAcentral
GUCCUUUAUUCAUCCUUCAAGCAUGCAUGAAAAACAAACUAUUAUAUCUCGGUUUUUAACUUCCUCAUCUGCAAAAUGAGGUUCCUGGAAUAGAUAAUCUGAAAUCCCUUCAGCCUCUAAGUCGAUCCUAUAAUCUACACUAUAAUCAUCCCACCUACAUUUGUCAUAUAUGCCUUACAUAAAGUAAUUUAUGUAUCAGUUUUAAGCUCUCUAUUGAAUU